Molecule: ribosomal RNA, 681 nt
Filed under: Acinetobacter marinus
Lineage: Bacteria; Pseudomonadati; Pseudomonadota; Gammaproteobacteria; Moraxellales; Moraxellaceae
Description: bacterial SSU rRNA
Rfam family: Bacterial small subunit ribosomal RNA
Source: RNAcentral
AUCUGCCUAUUAGUGGGGGACAAGAUUCCGAAAGGGAUGCUAAUACCGCAUACGCCCUACGGGGGAAAGCAGGGGAUCGUAAGACCUUGCGCUAAUACGAUGAGCCUAAGUCGGAUUAGCUAGUUGGUGGGGUAAAGGCCUACCAAGGCGACGAUCUGUACCGGGUCUGAGAGGAUGAUCCGCCACACUGGAACUGAGACACGGUCCAGACUCCUACGGGAGGCAGCAGUGGGGAAUAUUGGACAAUGGGGGGAACCCUGAUCCAGCCAUGCCGCGUGUGUGAAGAAGGCCUUUUGGUUGUAAAGCACUUUAAGCGAGGAGGAGGCUUACUUAGUUAAUACCUAGGAUAAGUGGACGUUACUCGCAGAAUAAGCACCGGCUAACUCUGUGCCAGCAGCCGCGGUAAUACAGAGGGUGCGAGCGUUAAUCGGAUUUACUGGGCGUAAAGCGUGCGUAGGCGGCUUUAUAAGUUGGAUGUGAAAUCCCCGAGCUUAACUUGGGAAUUGCAUUCAAAACUGUAAGGCUAGAGUAUGGGAGAGGAUGGUAGAAUUCCAGGUGUAGCGGUGAAAUGCGUAGAGAUCUGGAGGAAUACCGAUGGCGAAGGCAGCCAUCUGGCCUAAUACUGACGCUGAGGUACGAAAGCAUGGGGAGCAAAAAGGAUUAGAUACCCUGGUAGUCCAU